Molecule: ribosomal RNA, 760 nt
Filed under: uncultured bacterium
Lineage: Bacteria
Description: bacterial SSU rRNA
Rfam family: Bacterial small subunit ribosomal RNA
Source: RNAcentral
GACGAACGCUAGCUACAGGCUUAACACAUGCAAGUCGAGGGGCAGCAUGGUCUUAGCUUGCUAAGGCCGAUGGUGACCGGCGCACGGGUGAGUAACACGUAUCCAACCUGCCGUCUACUCUUGGACAGCCUUCUGAAAGGAAGAUUAAUACAAGAUGGCAUCAUGAGUUCACAUGUUCACAUGAUUAAAGGUAUUCCGGUAGACGAUGGGGAUGCGUUCCAUUAGAUAGUAGGCGGGGUAACGGCCCACCUAGUCUUCGAUGGAUAGGGGUUCUGAGAGGAAGGUCCCCCACAUUGGAACUGAGACACGGUCCAAACUCCUACGGGAGGCAGCAGUGAGGAAUAUUGGUCAAUGGGCGGAAGCCUGAACCAGCCAAGUAGCGUGCAGGAUGACGGCCCUAUGGGUUGUAAACUGCUUUUAGGCGGGGGUAAAGGGGCGGACGCGUUCCGCCUUUGCAAGUACCGCCAGAAAAAGGACCGGCUAAUUCCGUGCCAGCAGCCGCGGUAAUACGGAAGGUCCGGGCGUUAUCCGGAUUUAUUGGGUUUAAAGGGAGCGUAGGCGGGCUAUUAAGUCAGCUGUGAAAUCCGGCGGCUCAACCGUCGGCCUGCAGUUGAUACUGGUGGUCUUGAGUGCGCGCAGGGGCGUUGGAAUUCAUGGUGUAGCGGUGAAAUGCUCAGAUAUCAUGAAGAACUCCGAUCGCGAAGGCAGAUGCCCGGAGCGCAACUGACGCUGAGGCUCGAAAGUGCGGGUAUCANACAGG